RNAcentral lists this ribosomal RNA (489 nucleotides) under uncultured bacterium. Its description in RNAcentral is "partial 16S ribosomal RNA". It matches the Rfam family "Bacterial small subunit ribosomal RNA", at positions 30 to 507 of the family's 1533-position model. The record is from RNAcentral.
UUGAACGCUGGCGGCAGGCCUAACCCAUGCAAGUCGAACGGUAACAGGAAGAAGCUUGCUUCUUUGCUGACGAGUGGCGGACGGGUGAGUAAUGUCUGGGAAACUGCCUGAUGGAGGGGGAUAACUACUGGAAACGGUAGCUAAUACCGCAUAAUGUCGCAAGACCAAAGAGGGGGACCUUCGGGCCUCUUGCCAUCGGAUGUGCCCAGAUGGGAUUAGCUAGAAGGUGGGGUAACGGCUCACCUAGGCGACGAUCCCUAGCUGGUCUGAGAGGAUGACCAGCCACACUGGAACUGAGACACGGUCCAGACUCCUACGGGAGGCAGCAGUGGGGAAUAUUGCACAAUGGGCGCAAGCCUGAUGCAGCUAUGCCGCGUGUAUGAAGAAGGCCUUCGGGUUGUAAAGUACUUUCAGCGGGGAGGAAGGGAGUAAAGUUAAUACCUUUGCUCAUUGACGUUACCCGCAGAAGAAGCACCGGCUAACUCCGUG